Molecule: ribosomal RNA, 484 nt
Filed under: uncultured bacterium
Lineage: Bacteria
Description: partial 16S ribosomal RNA
Rfam family: Bacterial small subunit ribosomal RNA
Source: RNAcentral
AUUGAACGCUGGCGGCAGGCCUAACACAUGCAAGUCGAGCGGAUGAAGGGUGCUUGCUCCUGGAUUCAGCGGCGGACGGGUGAGUAAGGCCUAGGAAUCUGCCUGGUAGCGGGGGAUAACGUCCGGACACGGGCGCUAAUACGGCAUACGCCCUGAGGGAGAAAGUGGGGGAGCUUCGGACCUCACGCUAUCAGAUGAGCCUAGGUCGGAUUAGCUAGUUGGUGGGGUAAAGGCCUACCAAGGCGACGAUCCGUAACUGGUCUGAGAGGAUGAUCAGUCACACUGGAACUGAGACACGGUCCAGACUCCUACGGGAGGCAGCAGUGGGGAAUAUUGGACAAUGGGCGAAAGCCUGAUCCAGCCAUGCCGCGUGUGUGGAGAAGGUCUUCGGAUUGUAAAGCACUUUAGGUUGGGAGGAAGGGCAGUAAGUUAAUACCUUGCUGUUUUGACGUUACCAACAGAAUAAGCACCGGCUAACUUCGUG